GAAACUCUACCCUCUAAUUACAUUUAUACCACUAGUUUGUUCAUUUUGCCCCAAAAUUAAAAUGUUGGAUGAGGACGGGAAUCUCACUUUAUUUAUAUGUUGGAUUAAAGCUGACUUCACAGAUUUCAGAAAGCCAAGUGAUGUGAUGGCAUCAUGCUGCUCGUGUUAUUGUGUGACCAGUUUGAUGAAGGAAAAAGCAGGUCCUUGUAUUUGCAAAGAAUAAACCAACAACUGGCACACAUGCAAAGACCAUCCAUCUUCCACGCUGGAUAAAUCACUUGAAAUUAAAGAGUGUUUUUUUGGUUUCCUUUUUUUAAAAGAUCUUAUACUAGCUUUUCUUUUCAAGUGUGUUUAGAAGAGGAGGCCAUCAUUAGGGAAUUUUGUAUGAGUUUAUUUUAUGUUUGUUUAUCAGAUGUUUUCUGUAAGAAACUGCUAAUUAAUUGUUGAUUGAUAAAAAUUAAAUAGGCAGCUAGAAUUCCCUGAAGCAGCAAGCAGCAGCUGAAUCCAGUGCUUUGGGGAAGAAGCUUUUUUUCCAGGGACUGCAGGUCUAAAGAAUACAUUGACACAGCAGGUCAAUUGCCUCUGCUUGUGUGGAAUUUGUUUCAUUGCUCUAACACUGCCUAAACUCUGUGAAGGACACAGGUGCCUCCCUAUA
Long non-coding RNA from Serinus canaria (Common canary), 655 nucleotides. RefSeq lists it as uncharacterized. NCBI's taxonomy places the organism in Eukaryota, Metazoa, Chordata, Aves, Passeriformes, Fringillidae. The transcript has 3 exons. The record is from RefSeq and is a predicted model, not a curated record.